RNAcentral lists this long non-coding RNA (3451 nucleotides) under Capsicum annuum. RNAcentral's name for it is "long non-coding RNA (CANN_LNC019563)". Lineage: Eukaryota; Viridiplantae; Streptophyta; Magnoliopsida; Solanales; Solanaceae. The record is from RNAcentral.
UUUUAACUAUUUUGAUAUUACUAGCUAGUGAGAAAUUAAUUUUAUCCAAAAAAAAUAAGUCACUAUUCCGUAUUAAAGAAAUGUUAAAGGACUCUAACAACUCGACCAUUUAUUCUAAAGGAUAUAUUAAUUACCUACCAAAUUUUAGUCUUUUAAUGAUAUAAAAUAAAUCUUGAAGCCUAGUAAUUAUUCUAAGUUUAAAAUCUAAGAGGUAGCAUGGGAACAACUAAAUUUGCUAUAAUAUUCAAAAAAGUUAAUUCAAACAAGAACAUCCAAAAACAACAAUUCAAAAUGAUAAUGUGCGAAAUAUUAAACAAAAAUAAUAAUAAGUUUCUAUAGAAUAAAGCUUGCAAAGACGGAAGGAGGUACUAGACUGCUAGACAGAAAUAUGUAAUGCAAUAUUGUUCGCUUCUUUGAUUUAGACAGAGAUGGAGUAAGCCCUGAGACCCCAAAUACGCUCCCAAGUGUACAUGUGAAAUAAGAAAGAAAAUGAUAAGUAACAAAACCUAGAAUUAUUAAACCUACCAGAACAGGUAUAUUUAUUUAUGAUUAUGAAUAGCUAAAUUCAUAAAUUGCUAACAAUCAUGAUAUGAUAAAAUAAGUUCAUGUUAAUUACUUUAUAGUAGAAUUAUUCGAAAAAUAGCAUAUUAAGAAGUUUAUUAGCAAAGUGGAAAAGGAGAAAAAUCCCUAAGAAUUAUGUCAUCCUAAAGGUGAAACCGGUGAGGCAAAAAAACCGUGAUAGGGAAGUAGCCAGAGUAGAGGCGAGUUUGCUUCUUCUCCUGUAUCUAUCAUAGGUGUAUGAUACCUAUUAUAAUAUCCUUCUACUAUUAUUUUUACAAGUACAUAUAUUUUCAUAUCAUAUAUUUACAAGUACAAAACUCUUUCUAAAUUACCCAAUGCAAAUAGUAGAAGAGAGAAAAUUAAUGAGUCAAGCACCAAAAUGAUACAUCGGCCAGUAGCCUCAAUGAGUAGCACAAACUAAAAAAAUAUUCCAAACAUGACUCGAUAAUUUUACAAUUCAACUAGAAUUUGAUGAAACCAUUUACAAAUAAAAAUCUCAAUGAAACCAUUCAACACUUUAAAACCAAUCUAAGCAUGCUUACAGUAUGCAUAUCAUUUCCAAUCCUAUCCCCAAAAAGUAUUACAAUCAACAUGUUCAAAUAUAUUUUAAUGAGAUUACAACAAAAGGUCCCAUAAGCAGUCCAUUCAAGGCACAUUGAGCAGUCUAUAAAAGGUUCUACUAGAACUUAAACAAAUAAAAUGAACCGUGUCAUAUUUACAUACUAAUUAACUAUCACAAGUGUAGUUUCGAUUAACUUGGCCAAUACCAUACUCCUAAAACACAAGCUUUAUUCAAAUCUUACUAAGCUUGGGGUGCUAAAGGAGACACUAGGACACAACUCGUAGAUUAGGAGAACUCACGAGGGGCUUUACUUAUCAAAAAAAGAAAGAUCAAUACAAGAACUCCAGUUUUCCAGUGGUUCCAUGAAACAAAAGAAAGGAGGAAAGAAUUAAAAUCAAAGUCAGUUGAAACAAACGAAAUGAACUCGACAACAUGCACAUAGUGUUUGAAUCCAAGUAUGAACCAAGUAUGAUACCAUAUUUAACUUAGAUGAUCCACAAAAACAAAGUUAAGGAAUAUUACUACUAUCACAUUAUCCAGGUUAUCACUUACACAUUUGAAUACCACAGUCAGUUAAUUAGGUUAAACAGGGGAGGGACAAAUUAGAUAUGUUGAGGUGGUUACUAUGGCCUAACUCUUAACAAGUUAAUCUUGAUAGUCCUAAAUUCACUACUAAAAUAAUAAGUCUGACCUAAAUAACCAAAAAGAGAUCCUGGAAAUAGUGGGAAGUAUAAAAAAAAAAAACUUGCUAAAAGUUAUGAGUGAUUACGUUUUGAAAAUUUAAAUUGAGAAGAUGCAAAAAUGGGCUCAAAUUAAUAUAGUGCAACAUAAGUGAAAGUGAAUCAUACAAAAACUUAAAAGACAUAAUCCCCUCUCCUUUUCCACAAUAUAAGAAACUUCCAUUUCAUGAUCAAUGGGUAAGCAAAGCUAUAUUUUUGCUAAAAGUGAAAUUCACAAGGGUAAAGCAUCCUUGUUAGUACAGGAAACAAAAUCAAUUAACCGAAACGACUUCACAAAUACAUUUUUGUGGAACUUUCACGAAUCUAAGAAUCAUUUUUUAAAUACGAUACCUCAAAAAGCUCAUGGGUAGUCAGGUUGAGAUCUUACGCAAGCAAAUAAUUGAAUUUAAGGUAAUAAUAACGAAAAAGACAAACGUUAAUCUUUAAACUAAGUUCAAGCUAGCGAUGAAAACUUUAUACUCAUUUAAGCACAUUUAGGCUUGAGUUACUGCUUCUAUAUGCAUGUUAUGAAAAUAUGCAAACUGACCUACAAGCAAAUAGCUAGCUCCACUUAAAAAUUUUAAAACAACAGUCUUUUCCACAAAUCUGGAAGCUAAAGAUGUUUUAAAAAAUAUGCACGGUGAAUCAGAGACAUAACUAAGUAAGAGUUUCCAUGAUUUAUUACGCAGAUUUUACAAUGGGUAGUCAAGACAUACUUACAAUUUUAAGAACUUUAUAGCAUUUUUCAUGAAAAACUGAAAGCUGCGAACAUCUUAUAAACACACAACUAUGCACGCAACAUACUAGACAAACACAGCGGUAUUAAGAGACAUCCGUAAUGAUACUAUAGUUAUCCUUUUUGGGGAAGAGAACUACGGCUUCCUCGUUGGAGAUCCAAAUUUAAACUCAAACUUUGAUUUUGGAAAGAGAGCAAGAGAAAUAAGGAAUAAUUGGAUGAAUUUGUUAAUAUUUUUUUGUAUUGCUAAUUGCUGAUUCUUGGUCUUUUUUAAUUCUUCCCCUAAACAUGGGAGCCCAAGGACUCCAUUUUAUAGCCGGAUCUAAGGGUACUGCAACGAUUAUCACUAGAGGCUUCAAGAAUUCAGAUUUUGAAUUCUUGGAAGGCCAAAAUCUUAUAGAGAAACAAAGGGGCCAAAUUAGAAGAAGAAGAAGAAAAAGCCUGAUUGUUCACAUUUUCAGGUUGACGUGAAGAGGGAAAAGGGGUAUUUGAAGGUGGAAGACCUGGAACCAUCGAAUUUAAGGGAUAACAACCUCUAAUCUGAGUUCUUCACUCCCUUCAACUUUUUCAGAAGUUGCAGUAUCUCUGUUUUAAGAACAAAAGUUGUGGAAAAGAUGAGUGAAGUGACCGACAGAUAAAAUAAUGAAAAAGAAGGGGAAAGGCUAAGACCACUGGAACUCGCCAUUAUCCAGUGGUCUAGGGAAUGGUUGGCGUUUGCAGGUUGGAGAGAAGAGAUCACUAGUUUUGGUUUAGUUUCAACGACAAAUGUUAAGGGAGUAUUAGGGUUGGUUAGGCUAAUGGGAUACUUCGGUCGGGUUUUCCGUAUAAUAGUGGGUUGAUUCAGCUGAUAAUUGGGAUAGGAGUUAUAUUUAG